CUGUUCUCUUCCGGUCGCCGCCGGUUUUCCUUGUCCAAUGACAUUCCCUUCCAACCCAUUCGCAAGUUUACUUUCCCUGUAUGUUCCGUGCCGUUAUGUCUUUCCAUCUCGGUCUCGGCCUUCCGAGCGACGGUUCCCUCCAAGGUUCGUUUUCUAAAUUGCAGGCCUCAGCAGCGAUCGCUCUUUUGCCAUUACGCGUGCGCUACCCACUUUUAUUGGCGAUUUCAUUCGCAAAAUGUUCGUGCUCCGAUACAGAUUCCUUGGUCCCCUAUCCAACUAUUCAUUGAUAUUGCACCGUAUCCCGGUUAAGAACCGACAGCAUUCAACGGAAGGUCUGUAAGGAACGUUCCUACCAAAAGAACAGAUAUCGUAUA
This is a non-coding RNA of Cinara cedri, 374 nucleotides long. The record is from the annotation of a GenBank genome assembly. Lineage: Eukaryota; Metazoa; Arthropoda; Insecta; Hemiptera; Aphididae.